RNAcentral lists this long non-coding RNA (467 nucleotides) under Ananas comosus (pineapple). RNAcentral's name for it is "long non-coding RNA (ACOM_LNC024260)". Lineage: Eukaryota; Viridiplantae; Streptophyta; Magnoliopsida; Poales; Bromeliaceae. The record is from RNAcentral.
UUCGAUUCUAACCGAAAUCCAACUCUUGUAUUUCGAGAAUUUACUUCCUUACAUCCUCCCCACCUUUAAAAGAGUUUCAUCCUCGAAACGAACUCAAUUCUUAAUUAAACUCGAACUUAAUUCAUACCUUACUCACGCCUCAAAAAGAUGAGGGUGCUGCGCUUUCAUUGCUUCCUCAAGUUACCACAUAGCCUCGCGAUCGUUAUGAUUGGUCCACCGAACCUUAACGUAGGAAAUUUCGCGAUUUCUCAACUUCCGCACUUCUCGAGCAAUAAUCAACACCGGAAACUCCUCAUAGCUCAUAUCCUCGCGCAAUUUCGGCAAUUCAUAUGACAACACAUGCUCGGGAUCGUGAAUAUAUUUGCGGAGGUUGGAGAUAUGGAAGACAUUGUGAACAUCGGCGAGCUUCGGCGGCAAUGCGAGCCGAUAAGCCACCGCACCAAUCCGCUCCAACACCUCGUACGACC